Molecule: ribosomal RNA, 301 nt
Filed under: uncultured bacterium
Lineage: Bacteria
Description: partial 16S ribosomal RNA
Rfam family: Bacterial small subunit ribosomal RNA
Source: RNAcentral
CAGUAGCCGCGGGAAUACAGAGGGUGCAAGCGUUAAUCGGAAUUACUGGGCGUAAAGCGCGCGUAGGUGGUUUGUUAAGUUGGAUGUGAAAUCCCCGGGCUCAACCUGGGAACUGCAUCCAAAACUGGCAAGCUAGAGUAUGGUAGAGGGUGGUGGAAUUUCCUGUGUAGCGGUGAAAUGCGUAGAUAUAGGAAGGAACACCAGUGGCGAAGGCGACCACCUGGACUGAUACUGACACUGAGGUGCGAAAGCGUGGGGAGCAAACAGGAUUAGAUACCCCAGUAGUCCCUGUCUCUUAUAC